This 484-nucleotide ribosomal RNA is filed under the name uncultured bacterium. RNAcentral's name for it is "partial 16S ribosomal RNA". It matches the Rfam family "Bacterial small subunit ribosomal RNA", at positions 30 to 507 of the family's 1533-position model. The record is from RNAcentral.
AUUGAACGCUGGCGGCAGGCCUAACACAUGCAAGUCGAGCGGAUGAAGGGAGCUUGCUCCUGGAUUCAGCGGCGGACGGGUGAGUAAUGCCUAGGAAGCUUCCUGGGAGUGGGGGAUAACGUCCGGAAACGGGCGCUAAUACCGCAUACGUCCUGAGGGAGAAAGUGGGGGAUCUUCGGACCUCACGCUAUCAGAUGAGCCUAGGUCGGAUUAGCUAGUUGGUGGGGUAAAGGCCUACCAAGGCGACGAUCCGUAACUGGUCUGAGAGGAUGAUCAGUCACACUGGAACUGAGACACGGUCCAGACUCCUACGAGAGGCACCAGUCGGGAAUAUUGGACAAUGGGCGCAAGCCUGAUCCAUCCAUGCCGCGUGUGUGAAGAAGGUCUUCGGAUUGUAAAGCACUUUAAGUUGGGAGGAAGUGCAGUAAGUUAAUACCUUGCUAUUUUGACGUUACCAACAGAAUAAGCACCGGCUAACUUCGUG